Non-coding RNA from Caenorhabditis elegans, 198 nucleotides. The record is from Ensembl. NCBI's taxonomy places the organism in Eukaryota, Metazoa, Nematoda, Chromadorea, Rhabditida, Rhabditidae.
AAAAGGAUCUGAACAUGGCGGCAUGGAUCGUAAAACUGUUCUUGGAGGGUUGGGUGAAGGACUCACACAAUGAUGACGUAAUCGGGUGGUCGGGGGCUGUUUGGUGACAGAGAUUUUGGUGUGACACUGGGCUGUGCACAGAAAUGCGAUACACAUCAAGUGCCCGCUAUCGUUUUUUGCCCAUUUCUGGUGUUGAGG